GACGAACGCUGGCGGCGUGCUUAACACAUGCAAGUCGAACGGAGGAUUUAUUUCGGUAAAUCCUUAGUGGCGAACGGGUGAGUAACGCGUGGGCAAUCUGCCCUUCAGAUGGGGACAACAUCCCGAAAGGGGUGCUAAUACCGAAUACGAUCACGCUGCCGCAUGGCGGUGUGAUGAAAGAUGGCCUCUAUUUAUAAGCUAUCGCUGAAGGAUGAGCCUGCGUCUGAUUAGCUAGUUGGUGGGGUAACGGCCUACCAAGGCGAUGAUCAGUAGCCGGUCUGAGAGGAUGAACGGCCACAUUGGGACUGAGACACGGCCCAAACUCCUACGGGAGGCAGCAGUGGGGAAUAUUCCGCAAUGGACGAAAGUCUGACGGAGCAACGCCGCGUGAGUGAUGAAGGUUUUCGGACUGUAAAGCUCUGUUGUUUAGGACGAAAGUGCCUGUUGCGAACAGUUACAGGUAUUGACGGUACUGAACGAGGAAGCCACGGCUAACUACGUGCCAGCCGCCGCAGUAA
RNAcentral lists this ribosomal RNA (518 nucleotides) under uncultured bacterium. RNAcentral's name for it is "partial 16S ribosomal RNA". It matches the Rfam family "Bacterial small subunit ribosomal RNA", at positions 28 to 523 of the family's 1533-position model. The record is from RNAcentral.